AUCAUCAAUUCUUCAAGCAUUUAACUGCUUUGCAUUAAGAAUUUUGUCCAUUCCCUUUUGAUAUUCCCACUACUGUUCCCGAGACUUAGGGCCAUUUAUUUCCGUCUAUUAGGCAGAAAUGUGGCUGUUCAUAUUCUAUCUCUUCAUCUUCACCCCCUUAUAAAUGUUUAGCAUUUUUCAUCUUCUAUCUUCACCUCCUCAUUUUCUUAUUCAAAACCAAUUUGCUACCAUUUCUUAGCAUUCUGGCGAUCAAUCUGAUCCGAAGAUGGACUGUUUAGUCCGUCCGCCUUACAUUUACUUUGAUGUCACCUUUGGUAUG
Molecule: long non-coding RNA, 319 nt
Filed under: Olea europaea (common olive)
Lineage: Eukaryota; Viridiplantae; Streptophyta; Magnoliopsida; Lamiales; Oleaceae
Description: long non-coding RNA (OEUR_LNC000890)
Source: RNAcentral